Molecule: ribosomal RNA, 484 nt
Filed under: uncultured bacterium
Lineage: Bacteria
Description: partial 16S ribosomal RNA
Rfam family: Bacterial small subunit ribosomal RNA
Source: RNAcentral
AUUGAACGCUAGCGGGAUGCUUUACACAUGCACGUCGAACGGCAGCGCGGACUUCGGUCUGGCGGCGAGUGGCGAACGGGUGAGUAAUGUAUCGGAACGUGCCCAGUAGCGGGGGAUAACUACGCGAAAGCGUAGCUAAUACCGCAUACGCCCUACGGGGGAAAGCAGGGGAUCGUAAGACCUUGCACUAUUGGAGCGGCCGAUAUCGGAUUAGCUAGUUGGUGAGGUAACGGCUCACCAAGGCGACGAUCCGUAGCUGGUUUGAGAGGACGACCAGCCACACUGGGACUGAGACACGGCCCAGACUCCUACGGGAGGCAGCAGUGGGGAAUUUUGGACAAUGGGGGCAACCCUGAUCCAGCCAUCCCGCGUGUGCGAUGAAGGCCUUCGGGUUGUAAAGCACUUUUGGCAGGAAAGAAACGUCGCGGGCUAAUACCCCGUGGAACUGACGGUACCUGCAGAAUAAGCACCGGCUAACUACGUG